UUUCUGUCUGCCUCUCAUUGGCAAACAUGACAUUUCAGCAAUUUCUCUAAAGAGGAAUGACUGGGGGGUAUGUACAGCAGGCAUCAUGUAAGAAAAACUCACACCUCACGACAUAUUUGUUUGAUUUAUUCAGCAGACUUCAGCAAAGGAAAGAUGUGAAAGCAACCCUUGAUUGUUGAUUUUUUGUUCAUUCUGAAAAUCACAUCGCCAGAUCCAACACCUUUUUAUCCCAAUCACCAGUACAAGCCACCCGUAUCAGUGUACACUGUGGCUGACCGAUCCAUAGUGAUGCUUUGAGCACAAGGAAGGACUUUCUGGAAUCUACUUAUCUGACCAAGAAAGCUUCUUUCCAAAAGAAAUGCAAUUGUCUUGAGACUUCUUCCCUAGGGAUCUGAUCAACUAACCAGAAAAGAGCAACCACCAGAGAAGAGACUGUGGGUGUCAUUGUGACUGGCUGCUACCUCCCCAUGAGUCUUCUAAAAUAAAACCUGCAAAUUCACAUCUUCCCCAUGCUUCCAGAGAAUGCAUAUUCUUCCUUUGAAAAAAGAAAACCAGGUAGUCGUACAGUGUCCAGAAGGCAAAAGGACAAGUAUGCACUGCCCUACUUACCUACUUUCCACACUGCUGCACAGGAAAAUCUGACAGAGGACAAUAACAAACAUCUCACCAGCUCAUGCGUUCUUUUUUGAUCCUAAUUCCGAGAGACUCACCAAAGACAUGAAGAGAAAACAAACAAUACUUUUCUUGGAAAUAUUGUAAUUGCUGGUACAUUUGUUGUUCUGGCAUAAAGUAGAAAUUGUCAGUUACCAGAACAAUACUCAGUGAACUUAUGAAUAUAUGGUAAAUAUUAAACACAUCCCACUUGGAUGAGAAGAUAUGUGAGUCGAUGAGUAUAGCUAAGUCUAAAGUUAGAUGUGUUCCAUAAACAUAGUGUUUAUGGAGUUGGUGCAUAUUCAC
This 957-nucleotide long non-coding RNA is filed under the name Homo sapiens (human). RNAcentral describes it as "HSALNT0320922". Lineage: Eukaryota; Metazoa; Chordata; Mammalia; Primates; Hominidae. The record is from RNAcentral.